This is a long non-coding RNA of Eriocheir sinensis (Chinese mitten crab), 4039 nucleotides long. RefSeq lists it as uncharacterized. The record is from RefSeq and is a predicted model, not a curated record. The transcript is spliced from 3 exons. NCBI's taxonomy places the organism in Eukaryota, Metazoa, Arthropoda, Malacostraca, Decapoda, Varunidae.
CACACAUUUGCUUUUUAUAGUCGUGAUGAUUCGGACGGUUGAUUUUUUAAUGAUUUUUAUUAAACUUAUAUCAAUUUAAACAUUAUAGGUGUUGCAACGGUUAUAAAAAGGUUAAUUUGGUUGAUUUAUAUUCAGAUAUUAUGCUUGUGAGAAGAGAAGGAAGCCAUAAUACCAAAUUUUUUGAGAUAUUUCUUGUAGUUCUCCUUUAUUUUUUUCCCCUCUAAAUAUUGAGAGGAUACUUUUGUCCUUAUACAAAUGUUUUGUAGAAGAUAUAAUCUUGUUUAUUAGCCAAUCAAACUUAAGUUAUAUUAAUAUUAUGGUGAGUAUUAUGAGCGUCCGUACCAUCCCACCUCCCUGGCCGAACCAUCACCACGGGUGGGGAUGGUUCGGACGAUUUAGAAACUUGUCUUUCAUCACCGACAUCUGAAAACUGGAAAUAGCUACGAGUGUCAUAUUAGCAGCCUAAAGAGCCAAAUGAUGGAGGAACAUUUUGGGAUCAACAAAAUUACACUACUACUUAAACUUCUUUUUCUAAAAAUAUUUUUCUUAAAAGUGGCCGAAUCAUACCGGCUCUCCCCUAAAAAGUAGCCCAAAAUUGAGGGGGCUUUUCUAAAAUUUUGCCAUUUUUACCUGUUAUGAUGUCAUUAUAUUGCCCUUUAUUGACCAAAAAUGCUUUUUUGAUGUUUAUUCCUUGCGUUGAGGUCAUAACAAACCUGCAGAAGUGAGUGAGUGUGGUGACUGGCGGUGAUCGUGUCUGUGUUCCUAUGUUGUUUUCCCGUUUUUGUGCUGUUCAAGCGUUGGAUCACGCGAGACUAUAAAUAUUGCGACUUGUGAAUGUUCAGUGAAUAGGUUGGGAAGUAAUAAGUGAAGAAAAUUGAAGCGAGGAGGAUAUAAAUCUGAGAUAUAUACGUAGGGCGAAGGCGGGAGUUUCGGAGGGAGACAAGAAUGGCGGCGGCGGGUGGUCAUCGUAAGCCAUUGCCCAAAGAUGGAGUGACCGAGGAUGAAAAUAAAUCCAUAUGUAAGAAGGCAGUAUUGGACGAUGAUAAGGCUCUUGGAUGUGAGGUCACAAUGGUUUGCGAAGGAAAAGAUAACUGGCUUCACCUGUAGCAAGUUGUGCAUUAUGCAAAGACUGGGACAUACUCAGAUGCAGUCACAGCAGAGGAGAAGAGUGGCAUCUGAAAAUUUGCUGCAAGUUUCCAUCUUGAAGGUGAAUGGCUGACGGACGAGCACAUGAAUUAUGCCCAAGCCCUUCUGAAGAACAACUUCCCUAAGAUUGAUGGUCUACAGCACACCAUGGAGCCUUUCAAGUUGCCAUCAAUAACUCAUUUCAAAGGAGUCUAAUGAGGGAAUUUGUGCAGAUAUUGCUCAUAAUAAACAACCAUUGGGUUUGUGCAAUAUCCCUUAGGUGUGGCCCAGGAGAGGUUAAAAUAUAUGAUAGUUUAACACCAUCUGUGCAAAGGGGAGGAUGCAGAAAUAUCGUAGUGGUGUAUGUCCCUCCAAAAACCAAUUCAUGGACAGAAGAAUUGUACAAGAAGAAUCUGGAAGAUACAUUGGAUUGCCUAAGGAGAUUGCUGGAGGAGAAGGAGAAGAUUCUGAUAAUGGGAGAAUUUAAUUGUAAGGAAGUGUCAUGGGAAAACUGGUCAACGGAAGGAAGUGAAGCUUCAUGGGGGAACAAGAAUAAUCACCAGGGAGCCAGAUAUCAUAGAGGAGAUGAACUGUAAGAGCCCUAUAGGGAAGAGCGAUCAUGUACUUAUCGAGUACAUAUUACGAGAAGGAGGUAAAAUAAUCAGGAAUGAGGACUACAGGAAAGAAUGGUUUAACUUUAACCCGCAAACUGCUGUACGCCUUCUGGGCGGCUGAGCGGUAAGCUGCUGUAAGCCUUCUGGAAGCGGGCUUUUCAAACAGGUGCCAAAAAGUUUCCGCCGCGGCUUCAGAUACUGCCAGAAAAACAUUUUUGUGAUAGAAAAAUCUAAGAAAUAUGCAGGAUACAACACAUUUCGAGCUACAGAUAUGUGUAUUGUAAUAUUUAUGACACGUUUAUGUAACUUAGAUAUCAUUUAUUGAAGGUCAAUCUCUCGCUGAUAUAGCCGCACUAGGCGACGCACUCAGAAUCUCAGUCCCGCAGCUUACGGGUUAAUAAGGCAAAUUUUGAACAACUUGGAAAACAUUUUGAGGAAGCACAAUGGGAUACUUUUUUCGAGGCUGAUAAUGCGGAGGAAAAAUGGGCUGAAAAGUUGAGCAACUUGAUUAAUGUCUCACUAGCACAAGGGAAGGUACCAAGAGACUGGAAGAGGGCUAACAUCGUCCCAAUAUAUAAAGGAGGAAGUAAGGAAGACCCGUUGAACUAUAGGCCAGUGUCAUUAACAAGUGUAGUAGCAAAGAUGUGUGAGAAAAUUAUAAAAAAACAGAUGGGUGGGGUAUUUAGAAGAAAACAGUAUAUUAACAAGUAGCCAAUUCGGAUUCAGAGGAGGACGGUCUUGUGUAACUAAUCUGAUCAGCUUCUAUUCAAGAGUAAUUGAUAUAAUACAGGAAAGGGACGGUUGGGCAGAUUGUGUGUAUCUGGACUUAAAGAACGCGUUUGAUAAAGUACCACACAAGCGAUUAAUAUGGAAACUUAAUCAUGUUGGAGGUCUGGGUAGUUCAAAAUUGGAUUGGAUUAUGGACUUUAACAAUAAAUCAAGCUGGAUGGAAGUGACUAGUGGAGUCCCCCAAGGAUCGGUGUUGGCUCUGAUUAUGUUUGUAAUAUAUAUUAAUGACAUGACAGAAGGGGUGACAAGCUAUAUGAAUAUGUUUGCUGAUGAUGCUAAAAUAAUGAGGAGGGUGGCUAAUGAAGAAGACUGUGUAGCCCUGAGCCAAGAUCUCGAUAGAAUAAGCGAAUGGUCACGCAAAUGGGAAAUGACAUUCAAUACAGAGAAGUGUAGCGUGAUGGAGUUUGGUAAGAGUAGUAGAUGAAUAUCGGGGAACUAUUCUCUAAGUAAUGAAAGAAUCAUGAAAAAAACUGAAGAAAAAGAUCUGGGAGUGAUCAUAACAGACAAGUUAUCCUUUGGAAAACAUAUAGACCGGAUAACUGGGGAAACAUACAAUCUUCUUAGAAACAUAAAAGCAGCAUUUACGUAUUUAGAUAAAGAAAUUGCGAAGAAACUAAUAACAUCGAUGAUACGUCCCAGACUGGAAUAUGCAGCAUUAGUGUGGUCACCUAGAUUGAAGAAAAAAAUUAGAAAGUUGAAAAGAAUACAAAGAGCAGCGACUAAAUUACCAGAAACUCUGAGAGAACAUACUUAUGAAGAAAGACUGGAGAAAUUGGGACUAACAACACCAGAGAGAAGAGAGAGAGGGGACCUAAUAGCAUUGUACAGGAUACAAGAGGGAUUGGAUAAAUUGAACAGGGAAGACCUAGUGGUACAUGACAGAAGUGUGACAAGAGGCAAUGGUAAGAAACUGAAGAAGAGCGACUGUAGGAGAGACAUCAAGAGAGCGACUGUAGGAGAGACAUCAAGAAAUACAGUUUUCCAUACAGAAGCAUAACAACUUGGAAUGGACUUGACGAGGAGACUGUGUGUGCAAAAACGAUUCAUGAAUUUAAAGCCAAACUGGAUAAUAAGCAUUAUGGAGACGGGACAGCACGAGCCUAGUAUGGCUCUUUUUCCUGUAUUUCACAGCUACAGUACCCUCUCGAGUUUCGUGCUAUCCAAGUUUCGCGGUUUGUCCCAAAUUCUUACCAUCCCGACUUUUGCGCAUUAUCACCCUGAGUUUCGCGCUGCUUUUACACGUACGGGUCACGUCUGCUUAUCAUCGGCGUCACGCACACUACCUUUAAAGGUAUCACACUGGACGUUUUCCUUCAAACAUUGUGGCUUUGGAGAGAGAGAGAGAGAGAGAGAGAACGGGUCGUUUUGAAGCCGCAGUUGGAGGUGGCUGCCUUACAAUUGGCUGACGGUUCUGAAAACAUGUUUGUGAUUCGCUGGGAGUCUGAUGACGUCAUUGCUGAUGCUCAUCCUAUUAGCGGCUUCACUGCCUUAAGGGGGUGUCACAAUGACCG